This 1642-nucleotide long non-coding RNA is filed under the name Panax ginseng (ginseng). RNAcentral describes it as "long non-coding RNA (PGIN_LNC010579)". Lineage: Eukaryota; Viridiplantae; Streptophyta; Magnoliopsida; Apiales; Araliaceae. The record is from RNAcentral.
UAGUUUCUAACUCUUCUUUUUUCCCAUUCAUCUAUAUGUCAGAGCUUUACUGGAAAAAGGUAACUUACACGACCAUUGUAUUGAUUAAGCAACUAAUAUAUUUCUAUGAUGAUUAAACAUGCUGCAUAUUUGAAUUCAUAAGUGUUGAAUUUUAUAUUUGAAUUGAGGCGAGAUGAUAGAAGAGGGAGCUUUAGCUUUGAAGAUGUACUUGAAAAAACUCUCAUAAUUAUGCUGGUUUUGAUGAAAUUUGGGUUUUGUUUCUUAGCUCCUUGAUAUGUAUAUGCUUAUGGAUGCUAUUUCAAGUUUGGAAGAGCAUAUGCUUUAUUGUGUAUACUGAAUCACAAGUUUUCUUAUGUAGUUAUAAUUUGGUUGGCCAGUUGGUUGAUAUCAAUUUAGGAAAUCGUUGGUUUUGAUGUGUAAAUGAGUGUUAUAUGGUGCUCAAAACAAUUAUUAUAUCUAUAUCUACUUAUGUAAAGGUUUUCAACAAUUUCCAUCGUGGUUAGUGAUUGCAGGCAAUAUCUAUAUAUUCUUUUUAGUAAGAACAAUAGAAAUUUUAUGCAGAGGUCUAGUAAUUAGUAAGGGGGUGCAACUUGUGUUCUUGCAAAACCCAGUCAACUUGGGAUACGCUUGAUUUUUCUACAUUGUAAUGUAUUAUGUAUUUUUGCUAUGACUGAAUGUAAUAUGGGCAGAAAUCAAUCAUUUAUAAGAUUCGUAAUAAGACUGUCAGUUCUUUUCAUAGAAAAAUGAAAUAUUAAAAUUUGAUAGUGAUUUUGUAGUUGGAGAGUGUUCUGAUUUUAGUAACUUGUAAGCGAGCUAAGCUUUAAGAUGAUGGUAAGUGUUACUCUAAACUUGUCAAAAUAAAAAUUAAAAACAUUGAAGAGAAAAAAGUAUAGUGAUGCUCUAUCAAAAUUAUGGUUACAUAUUGAGUGAAUCUCAUACUUUCUUAAAUGAUAUAUGAUAUUUUAAGUUUCAUGGUCAGAAUGACAAUUUUCUUUAAUAUUUACUUGAAUGAAUUUGUGAAUGAUCUUAUAAUCGUAGUCUUUACUUUUAACUACUUAACAUGACAUUCUUUUGAACAUUGUUGUCUAGUUUGUGGAGCUACCUGCAACUUCCACUUGUGAGAUGAUAAUCUUGCAUUGAAGCCACAAGAUAUCUGUAAAGGCGGUUGAUCUCUUUUCUUUCUGGUGCUUUAAAUUUAGUUUACUUGGAAAACAAUGGUGUUGUCGAUCUUUUUGACAAUUGAAAUUGGCCGUCAGUCUUGAGUUUACUUUACCGUUCCUAUUUGCUAUGACCAGGCCAAGUAAUAAUGAUCAUUGAUGUAUUUAUAAAUGGACUACUUUCAUUUGUCAUGAAUCAUUGCUGCACUUUGUUUGCAAAGGUGAUUAUUUUCUGCACUUGAGAAACUCGAGUAGCAGAAAUGAAUCUCAUCCUUUUUGCUUGAUAUGCAUGGUAGGAAGUAAUAUGAAAAAAAUGCGUUAUAGUUGGUUUCUAUCCUUUGUAAAUUGUAACCAAAAUGAAUCUCAUACUUUUUCCUUUUUGCUUGAUAUGUCAUGUAUUUUUCUAUGGGAAAUUUCCUUUAGGAACCAAAAUGAAUUGAUUUCGGUUGCCUUUUGUUAGGAAACCGUAUAUGGUUAUGAUACUC